RNAcentral lists this transfer RNA (98 nucleotides) under Pannonibacter phragmitetus. Its description in RNAcentral is "tRNA-Trp(cca)". Lineage: Bacteria; Pseudomonadati; Pseudomonadota; Alphaproteobacteria; Hyphomicrobiales; Stappiaceae. The record is from RNAcentral.
GCGCAUCUGGCGCAGGUCCAGCAUGCGGGCGUCUUCCAGCGAUGCCAUGGCCUCGUCGAUAUUCGCAGCCUUCGGAUAGAAGCCGGUGGUCCGCGCCA